AUUGAACGCUGGCGGCAUGCUUUACACAUGCAAGUCGAACGGUAACAGGUUAAGCUGACGAGUGGCGAACGGGUGAGUAAUGCAUCGGAACGUGCCCGAUCGUGGGGGAUAACACUUCGAAAGAAGUGCUAAUACCGCAUACGAUCUGAGGAUGAAAGCGGGGGACCGUGAGGCCUCGCGCGAUCGGAGCGGCCGAUGUCAGAUUAGGUAGUUGGUGGGGUAAAGGCUCACCAAGCCGACGAUCUGUAGCUGGUCUGAGAGGACGACCAGCCACACUGGGACUGAGACACGGCCCAGACUCCUACGGGAGGCAGCAGUGGGGAAUUUUGGACAAUGGGCGAAAGCCUGAUCCAGCAAUGCCGCGUGCAGGAAGAAGGCCUUCGGGUUGUAAACUGCUUUUGUACGGAGCGAAAAGGCUCUCUCUAAUACAGGGGGCUCAUGACGGUACCGUAAGAAUAAGCACCGGCUAACUACGUGCCAGCCGCCGCGGUAA
Molecule: ribosomal RNA, 493 nt
Filed under: uncultured bacterium
Lineage: Bacteria
Description: partial 16S ribosomal RNA
Rfam family: Bacterial small subunit ribosomal RNA
Source: RNAcentral